GCAGCAUAGACAGGCUCGGCGCCUACAUAGGAUUCCCUGCCUGGCUACUAAAAACAGCUGGAAGCACCUAAAUUUCAUAAAAGACAUUCUGAGAAGACCAGUAUGAGCAGAGAUAAUGCUCCCCCUUGGAGAAGGGGAUGAAAGUGGAAGAGCCUUUAAAGAAUACCUGCCUUAAUCCGUGGUUGCUCAGGAGAGCAGAGGGAGUCUACACAAGAUUUGUUUGGUAUCUGAGCAACCAGUUUCUAAAGCAUCAAAUCCCAAAAAGGAGGCAGGAAAGACUUCUUUUGAUUCUGGAACAAAAGACUUCCGAAUACCCUCCCAGCUCUGUGUCCUUGGUUUGGUACAGUACAGUGCCACUUCCCAUGCAUGAACUGCAAAUGCUGAAAGGUGAAUAA
RNAcentral lists this long non-coding RNA (395 nucleotides) under Manacus vitellinus (golden-collared manakin). RNAcentral describes it as "lncRNA (ENSMVIG00005007529.1)". The record is from RNAcentral. Lineage: Eukaryota; Metazoa; Chordata; Aves; Passeriformes; Pipridae.